This 485-nucleotide RNase P RNA is filed under the name Chloroflexota bacterium. Its description in RNAcentral is "Chloroflexi bacterium (sediment metagenome) RNase P RNA component class A". It matches the Rfam family "Bacterial RNase P class A". From Rfam's summary of the family: Ribonuclease P (RNase P) is a ubiquitous endoribonuclease, found in archaea, bacteria and eukarya as well as chloroplasts and mitochondria. Its best characterised activity is the generation of mature 5'-ends of tRNAs by cleaving the 5'-leader elements of precursor-tRNAs. The record is from RNAcentral. Lineage: Bacteria; Bacillati; Chloroflexota.
CAGGUCGGCCGGAUGGUCGCGGUCCCCUAGCCGGGGGAUCGAGGAAAGUCCGCACUCCACAGAGCACGGUGCCGGGUAACACCCGGGGCGGGAUAACCUGCCGGAUCGGGCCACAGAGACAUACCGCGGGUUGAUGAUUGAAGAUUACCGAUUGUGGAUUGGGUCCCUUUCCGCAAUGAGCAAUUGAAAAUCAGUCAAUCCGCAAGGGUGAAAAGGUGGUGUAAGAGACCACCGGCGCCCCCAGCAAUGGGGGCGGCCAGGCAACCCCCACCGGGAGCAAGGCCAAGCAGGGGUGAGUGGAUUGAGGAUUGUGGAUUGUUGAGUUUCAACUCAUCAUUCAUAAAUCGAAGAUCAACGAUCCAGGGAGGCUGCUCGUCUUCCGGCUCCAGAGAUGGAGCCAUAGCCCCGGGUAGGCUGCUCAGACAGAUGACCAUCCAGGCGGGAUCACCGCCGGACAGAAUGCGGCUUACAGGCUGACCUGUCGG